GGACUACCGGGGUUUCUAAUCCUGUUUGAUCCCCACGCUUUCGUGCCUCAGUGUCAAUGAUAGUGUAGCGAGCUGCCUUCGCAAUGGGUGUUCUAUGUCAUAUCUAAGCAUUUCACCGCUACAUGACAUAUUCCGCUCACCUCCACUAUAUUCAAGAUAGAUAGUAUCAACGGCAGUUUCCGAGUUAAGCUCAGAGAUUUCACCACUGACUUACCUACCCACCUACGCACCCUUUAAACCCAGUGAAUCCGGAUAACGCUUGCACCCUCCGUAUUACCGCGGCGGCUGGCAC
This 292-nucleotide ribosomal RNA is filed under the name uncultured Bacteroidota bacterium. RNAcentral describes it as "uncultured Bacteroidetes bacterium partial 16S ribosomal RNA". The record is from RNAcentral. Lineage: Bacteria; Pseudomonadati; Bacteroidota.